UUGAGAGUAACCGGGUAUACUCAAUCUGGCCACGGUUCUUCAACGAACCAGUUAAUGUUGUAUGUGACAUGGACACAGAAGGUGGUGGGUGGACGAUAAUCCAACGCCGCGGAUACUAUAACGAGAAACCCCAGGAUUUCAAUCAAUCUUGGUAUCAGUACAGCAUGGGAUUUGGAUCACUGAACGAAGAUUUUUGGCUUGGAAACGACAAAAUAUUUGCCUUAACAAACCACAAGGAAAUGGAGCUUAGAGUUGAUUUAGAAGAUUUUUCAGGGAAAACGGUCCAUGCUAAGUUCUCAUAUUUUCUU
Limulus polyphemus (Atlantic horseshoe crab) is the source of this 308-nucleotide long non-coding RNA. RefSeq lists it as uncharacterized. The transcript is spliced from 3 exons. The record is from RefSeq and is a predicted model, not a curated record. Lineage: Eukaryota; Metazoa; Arthropoda; Merostomata; Xiphosura; Limulidae.